ACAAAUACGAUGAUCUGAGGAGUGCCCCGCUGGAAAGGGGAAGAGGGACAGCGAGGGGUGCUGCCACCUUUGAACAGAAAGAGAACAAAGAGGAAUUGACCCUUGCAAAUAUCUGAGGGAGGAGAAUACCUGGCGGCCAGAACUGCAUGUGCAAAGGCCCUGAGGUGGCAUUGCACCUGCAAUAUUCAGGGAGCAGUAAGGCAGCCAGAGCAUCGUGGGAGCAGGGAGAGUGGACAGGCCAGAUCUUCUAGGGCCCAGUGGACCAUGGAGGGAGUCUGUGAUGCCUGGUUCCUUUGGGGCUGAACGGGGCGGGACUUCUCAUCUUUCUAGAUCUAGGGUCUCUGUCCACAGAUGGGUCCGGUCGUUGUGCCUGCGCAGCAUUCUCGGGGCCUCCAGGAUGGAAGUAUUCAUGCUGCCGACUUCCCCAUCUGCCUCCUACCCGCCUCUCCUCCCUGAUGGAGCCGCCAAGCGCAGGAAGGAGCCACAGCAAACACGAGAUGGCCGGAGCCUGAUGGGCAAAUUCAGUGCCCUGUUCGUUCAUUCCUCAAGAAAGCUGUUCCCUGGCCCCUCUCUGGUUGGAGCACGGGCUGGUACAGGGACUCCAGCACCGCCUUGGAAUUUUUUAUGUGUGUUUAUUUAUUUGCGGGGGAGGGGCAGAGCCCGACGUGGGGCUUGAUCUCGAGGACCGUGAGAUCAUGACCUGAGCGGAUAGCAGGAGUCGGAGGCUUAACCCGCCGAGCCCCCCAGGCGCCCCUGGAUUUUUAACACCAUGCUAAGGGCUUCCAUCGGUAGGGGCCUUCUAAGUAUUCACUAAAUGAGUGAAUGAACAAACGAAUGAACAAAUGAAAGAGAGAAAAUUAAAGUUUACAUUUCCUGAAUGCA
Long non-coding RNA from Herpailurus yagouaroundi (jaguarundi), 882 nucleotides. RefSeq lists it as uncharacterized. Lineage: Eukaryota; Metazoa; Chordata; Mammalia; Carnivora; Felidae. The transcript is spliced from 2 exons. The record is from RefSeq and is a predicted model, not a curated record.